This 491-nucleotide ribosomal RNA is filed under the name uncultured bacterium. RNAcentral describes it as "partial 16S ribosomal RNA". It matches the Rfam family "Bacterial small subunit ribosomal RNA", at positions 29 to 506 of the family's 1533-position model. The record is from RNAcentral.
AGUGAACGCUGGCGGUAGGCCUAACACAUGCAAGUCGAACGGCAGCACAGUAAGAGCUUGCUCUUACGGGUGGCGAGUGGCGGACGGGUGAGGAAUACAUCGGAAUCUACUUUUUCGUGGGGGAUAACGUAGGGAAACUUACGCUAAUACCGCAUACGACCUACGGGGGAAAGCAGGGGAUCUUCGGACCUUGCGCGAUUGAAUGAGCCGAUGUCGGAUUGGCUAGUUGGCGGGGUAAAUGCCCACCAAGGCGACGGUCCGUAGCUGGGCUGAGAGGAUGAUCAGCCACACUGGAACUGAGACGCGGUCCAGACUCCUAGGGGAGGCAGCAGUGGGGAAUAUUGGACAAUGGGCGCAAGCCUGAUCCAGCCAGACCGCGUGGGUGAAGAAGGCCUGCGGGUUGUAAAGCCCUUUUGUUGGGAAAGAAAAGCAGCAGGUUAAUACCCCGCUGUUCUGACGGUACCCAAAGAAUAAGCACCGGCUAACUUCGU